ACGAGGAAGUCAAGUCAAGUCCGCCAUUUCAUCUUCUUCUUUUUAUCGGAAAAGAAAGGAAUCAUGCAAGGAUGCAAGCUGAAGGAAAGGACAACUCUCACAUCAGUGCAUUACUAAUUGUUUUACUUCAUCAUCAAGCACACCAGGUGGUGCGGUGCACAGUGGAUAGCUCUGUUGCCUCCCAGCAAAAAUGUUUCUGGUUCGAGCCUCGGCUGGGUCAGUUGGCAUUUCUGUGUGAAGUUUGUAUGUUCUCCCCGUGUUGGCGUGGGUUUCCUCCGGGUGCUCCUGUUUCCCCCACAAGACAUGCGGUACAGGUGAAUUGGCUCAGAUUGUGAUGGACCUGGAAUGCGACACCAAUCAGCCUUAAGUCAAGAUCCAAAUGAAGCACCAGAGUACAGAUUAUGGAGGUUCCUUGUAAAGAUUAACCCAGGGAAGGAUCGAAAGUGGAGAAGACCAGAUCAAGAAAGACUAUAUCAAGAUCUGCGGUCAGUUCAAAGGUACUUUCACUAAUUACCAAGAUUUCAGACUAUGAAUUGAUGGAGAAAACUUUGAGUGUCAGAUCUUCCUACAUCCCCUAGCAAAAAUUCUUCCCAGUGUCUUGUAGUAGAAGUGAUGCAGUCAAUCGAGUUUACAUUAUUUCGUAAAUUGCUUUCUGAUUUAAUAAAAAAUAUAUUAACCAAACUUGAUUAAUGUAACAAUUUUGAUGAAAAGGGCAUGUUUUACUAGAGCUUUUAGCACAAAGGCACCCCCAUCUUGGAAUAUUGCUGUGUCUGACGUCACGGGGUUGGUAUGCUAGAAACGUUUUUGAAUGAGGUAUUUGUAUAAUUUAUACAUAGUCUGUCUUAAAGCGUCACUAAAUUGUACAGGUCAAAGCAAUCUGUUGUUAC
This is a non-coding RNA of Danio rerio (zebrafish), 887 nucleotides long. NCBI's taxonomy places the organism in Eukaryota, Metazoa, Chordata, Actinopteri, Cypriniformes, Danionidae. The record is from Ensembl.